RNAcentral lists this ribosomal RNA (253 nucleotides) under uncultured bacterium. RNAcentral's name for it is "partial 16S ribosomal RNA". It matches the Rfam family "Bacterial small subunit ribosomal RNA", at positions 524 to 776 of the family's 1533-position model. The record is from RNAcentral.
CACGUAGGGGGCGAGCGUUGUCCGGAUUCAUUGGGCGUAAAGGGCGCGCAGGCGGCCCGGUAAGUCGGAUGUGAAAACUCGAGGCUCAACCUCGAGCGUGCACCCGAUACUGCCGGGCUUGAGGCAGGUAGGGGAGAUCGGAAUUCCUGGUGUAGCGGUGAAAUGCGCAGAUAUCAGGAGGAACACCGGUGGCGAAGGCGGAUCUCUGGGCCUGUCCUGACGCUGAGGCGCGAAAGCGUGGGGAGCGAACAGG